UGAAAGCGGCAGCAGCUUUGGAGGACAAACCAUUCCUGCCAAGGAUCAGUGGCCACAGCCCAUUACUCAGUGAAGAUAGACUGAGCACUGCUGAUGAGAGCAUUUGUAAACUCAGUUUUACUGGGUCUGGCUCACAGAGGAAAGGGAAAUGGUCCCGUGUGGCCUUUGGCUGGUGGGAGAGUUGGUCAGUGUUUGAAACACUAGAAGAGAGCUGAGGAUGCAAAUGUGGUACAGAUGGAAGGGAAGAUGAAGCUUGAGGAACAUCAAAAGAGGACCUGGAGUCAGGAUUUUCAGGAGUGCCUCUGGACUGGAUGAACUCGGGUGGGAUCAAUUUACCAUCUUACAAGUCGAGUCACUGGAGGCAGCUGCAGCCUGGUUUGAAUGGGAGGAUCAGG
Molecule: long non-coding RNA, 395 nt
Organism: Lepidothrix coronata (blue-crowned manakin)
Lineage: Eukaryota; Metazoa; Chordata; Aves; Passeriformes; Pipridae
Exons: 3
Source: RefSeq, a predicted model, not a curated record